AAGACAGCAUGUGUAAGGAAAUGAGAAAGCUCUCAUGGAGAAAUGUGUGUGAUUUACUAAAGCUGGAGAGAGAGAGAGGAACAGAGAAAAUUAGAUGAUAGAAAAAUAAAAUAUGUCGGGAGUCAUUGCAUCUGAGGUUCCACCAAGAACA
Molecule: non-coding RNA, 151 nt
Organism: Notechis scutatus (mainland tiger snake)
Lineage: Eukaryota; Metazoa; Chordata; Lepidosauria; Squamata; Elapidae
Source: RefSeq, a predicted model, not a curated record